GAGUCAGUAGGUUGGUCGUGUCACCGGUACGUACUGGUCUCACUGAUUCCUCCUUCCUGAAGAACCGUAAUGCCAUUAAUUUGGUGUUGCGGGGAAACAGGACUGUUACUUUGAAAAAAUUAGAGUGUUUAAAGCAAGCUAACGCUUGAAUACAUUAGCAUGGAAUAAUGAAAUAGGACGUUCGAUCCUAUUUUGUUGGUUUCUAGGAUUGACGUA
This 216-nucleotide ribosomal RNA is filed under the name Glomeromycotina sp. Its description in RNAcentral is "partial small subunit ribosomal RNA". The stretch from base 40 to 216 matches the Rfam family "Eukaryotic small subunit ribosomal RNA", at positions 686 to 864 of the family's 1831-position model. Lineage: Eukaryota; Fungi; Glomeromycota. The record is from RNAcentral.